UGUGUCCAGAGGUGGGGGACAACCUUGGGAAACUGAGGCUAAUACCGCAUAUGAGCUGAGGCUCAAAGCAGCGAUGCGCCUUUGGAGUAGCCUGCGUCCGAUUAGCUAGUUGGUGGGGUAAAGGCCUACCAAGGCGACGAUCGGUAGCUGGUCUGAGAGGACGACCAGCCACACUGGGACUGAGACACGGCCCAGACUCCUACGGGAGGCAGCAGUGGGGAAUAUUGGACAAUGGGCGCAAGCCUGAUCCAGCAAUGCCGCGUGUGUGAAGAAGGUCUUCGGAUCGUAAAGCACUUUCGACGGGGACGAUGAUGACGGUACCCGUAGAAGAAGCCCCGGCUAACUUCGUGCCAGCAGCCGCGGUAAUACGAAGGGGGCUAGCGUUACUCGGAAUUACUGGGCGUAAAGGGCGCGUAGGCGGCGCUCCAAGUUAGGCGUGAAAGUCCUGGGCUCAACCUGGGAACUGCGCUUAAGACUGGAGUGCUUGAGGAUGGAAGAGGGUCGUGGAAUUCCCAGUGUAGAGGUGAAAUUCGUAGAUAUUGGGAAGAACACCGGUGGCGAAGGCGGCGACCUGGUCCAUUACUGACGCUGAGGCGCGACAGCGU
This 605-nucleotide ribosomal RNA is filed under the name Teichococcus aerophilus. Its description in RNAcentral is "bacterial SSU rRNA". It matches the Rfam family "Bacterial small subunit ribosomal RNA", at positions 125 to 762 of the family's 1533-position model. Lineage: Bacteria; Pseudomonadati; Pseudomonadota; Alphaproteobacteria; Acetobacterales; Roseomonadaceae. The record is from RNAcentral.